UACGAAGGGGGCUAGCGUUGUUCGGAAUUACUGGGCGUAAAGCGCACGUAGGCGGGCGAUUAAGUCAGGGGUGAAAUCCCGGAGCUCAACUCCGGAACUGCCUUUGAUACUGGUCGUCUAGAGAUCGGAAGAGGUGAGUGGAAUUCCCAGUGUAGAGGUGAAAUUCGUAGAUAUUGGGAAGAACACCAGUGGCGAAGGCGGCUCACUGGUCCGAUACUGACGCUGAGGUGCGAAAGCGUGGGGAGCAAAGCAGG
This 254-nucleotide ribosomal RNA is filed under the name uncultured bacterium. Its description in RNAcentral is "partial 16S ribosomal RNA". It matches the Rfam family "Bacterial small subunit ribosomal RNA", at positions 524 to 777 of the family's 1533-position model. The record is from RNAcentral.